RNAcentral lists this ribosomal RNA (253 nucleotides) under uncultured bacterium. Its description in RNAcentral is "partial 16S ribosomal RNA". It matches the Rfam family "Bacterial small subunit ribosomal RNA", at positions 524 to 776 of the family's 1533-position model. The record is from RNAcentral.
UACGUAGGGGGCAAGCGUUGUCCGGAAUCAUUGGGCGUAAAGAGCGUGUAGGCGGCCAGAUAAGUCCGCUGUGAAAACUCGAGGCUCAACUUCGAGCUGUCGGCGGAAACUAUCUGGCUAGAGUCCGGAAGAGGCGAGUGGAAUUCCCGGUGUAGCGGUGAAAUGCGCAGAUAUCGGGAGGAACACCUAUGGCGAAGGCAGCUCGCUGGGACGUUACUGACGCUGAGACGCGAAAGCGUGGGGAGCAAACAGG